GACGAACGCUGGCGGCGUGCUUAACACAUGCAAGUCGAACGGAAAGGCCCGGCUUUGUGGCGGUGCUCGAGGGGCGAACGGGUGAGUAACACGUGAGUAACCUGUCCUUGACUGUGGGAUAACUUCAUGAAACUUGAGCUAAUACCGGAUAGGAGCUCCUGCUGCAUGGUGGGGGUGGGAAAGUUUCGGCGGUUGGUGAUGGACUCGCGGCCUAUCAGCUUGUUGGUUGGGUAGUGUCUUACCAAGGCUUUGACGGGUAGCCGGCCUGAGAGGGUGACCGGCCCCAUUGGGACUGAGAUGAGGCACAGCCUACUACGGGAGGCAAGAGUGGGGAAUAGUGUACAAUGGGAGGAAGCCUGAUGCAGCAACGCCGCGUGCGGGAUGACGGCAUUCGGGUUGUAAACCGCUUUCGCCUGUGACGAAGCGUGAGUGACGGUACUGGGUAAAGAAGCACCGGCUAACUACGUG
RNAcentral lists this ribosomal RNA (468 nucleotides) under uncultured bacterium. Its description in RNAcentral is "partial 16S ribosomal RNA". It matches the Rfam family "Bacterial small subunit ribosomal RNA", at positions 28 to 507 of the family's 1533-position model. The record is from RNAcentral.